AUUCAGGGGUAUGACUUUAAUGUAGAUUUGUUUGUUGUUGUUAAACAAACAAACAAAACCAAAAAACAAAACAAAACAAAAAAACCAUCCCAGCUUAAGUUUAGGGAAAACAUAACAGGGCCUAUUUUCUGAAAGAGCAGAAAGACUUGAGAGGACAGACAGGAUGAAUAGGCAAGACCUUCUGGGGAGGAACUGACAUGGCUUGGGUACCACUCAUCACUUUGGGCAGCGCUUAUUUAAGUUACAAAUUGGCCAGCUCAGGGACCAGAGGCAGACUACUAAAAAAUUUUUGCUUGUCUUGCACAGUGNUCGCACAGUGUUUUUUAAAUGCCUGACUGUGUCUGCCAAGUCAUCUGGUCCCCCAAUCCCUAGCGACGUACUCCCAUUUGACUUAACUCAUGGACCUUACCAGCUUUGCCCUCGUCAGCAUAGGGGGGUGCCUGGAAAAGAAUGAUGGAACUUGGGAGGGAAAGAAGUGAAAAUGGAGAUUUUAAGAAUAUGUAGAAUUUGAAAGGCAGGUGAGCCCAGUAAGGGUGAAGGCUAGUGGUACAGACAAAAGACUGUGCACAUAGAGAGUUGAGGCUCUGAGAGAAUGAAUCCAAAGACUCUAAAGGCAAAACUCUGGACACCACUCAUAUCUAAGGGCUGUAUAUCACCAGAAUUCCAAUGAAGGGAAAGAAGCCCCUCAACACAAAACAGGUUAGGAGCUCCUGUUAUGGCUCAGCCAUUAACAAACCCGACUAACACCCAUAAGGAUGUGGGUUUGAUCCCUGGCCUUGCUCAGUGGGUUAAGGAUCAGGCGUUGCCUUGAGCUGUGGUGUAGGUUGCAGACGAGGCUCGGAUCCCGCGUUGCUGUGGCUGUGGUGUAGGCCGGUGGCUGCAGAUCCGAUUGGACCCCUAGUCUGGGAACCUCCAUAUGCCUCGGGUGCGGCCCUAAAAAAACAGAAAGACAAAAAAAAGAAAAAAAAAUUACAAAGACUUAAAGAGGGGGUAGAUGUAGGUGUAUAUGGACAAGGCUAACAGCACAGGGAAGGAGCUGGAACAUCCUUCAGUGAUAUGAAAGGUGGAGGAUCUCAGGAUCUGGUGUCUUAAAAGGCCAGUGGAAAGAGAGAGCCAUAGGAGGUAGGGGGUGUAGGCACAAGUGGAAGAGAAAGAUCUGGGCAAGAGGAGGACACAUACCCCUACUAAGGAAAGACCAGCAAAGACGGACAUGUUUUCAAAUACGAGAGAUGUUACUGAGUGCUAGUUGGGUGGCCUAUAGCUAGUCAGGUCAAGUCAGCAGAGUUAUAGGUACAAAACUGAACUUUAGCAGAAAAAGUUCUACGGAAUCUGGCAUAAUUCAGGACAGGCUUGCUGAACAGCAAAGAAAACUCAGCCGAGAUUAGCAAACACUAACUACGCUUCAUAAUGCCGUAAUUUUGUGAUUUUAUUGUCUAUUACAAACUGCAGGUUUGCAAGAGGUUUAAGGGAUUUUUAUUUUUUAGAUGUAAUUAGGAAAGUUAACUUUCCUAUAAAAAUGAUUGGUCUACAAAUAUGAAUUGCAGGCCCAUGAGUGCCACAGCAUACUUUAUUCUUUUUUCUCCUUUUACAGCUGCACCUGCAGCUUAUGAAGUUCCCAGGCUAAAGGGUGGAAUGGGAGCUGCAGCUGCUGGGCUACGCUACAACCACAGCAAUACUGGAUCCGAGCUGCAUCUGCAACCUAUGCCGCAGCUGGCAGCAGCACCAGAUCCUUAACCCACUGAGCACGGCCAGGGACCGAACCAGCAUCCUCAUGGACACUAUGUUGGGUUCUUGAAUCACAACCUGCAUGGUAUAUUCUUAAGUGCACUUGUGUUAAACUAUCAGUCUCUAGGGCAUAGCUCUAGGUUGGGGUCAAAGUUUCUAGUAUGUUAUCUCUUUUUAUCAUAGGAUUGAUUCUCCUCAGGGAUGUUUUUCCCCCCUCUUCUUUGUGGAUGUUGCAAAUUGUGAAACUGAUUAGGAUCCCUUUUGGAGUUAGCUAAUAAUUGAGGGGGGUGGGGAUCUGGAUUCACCUCCAGCUAAGGAACAGAGUUUGGUAGGCUGUUUUAUUGGCCUCACUUCUUCCAAUUUGUAACUCUACCCUCCUUCCUCCUUGUCAUUUGCUUUUGUUAUCUUGUUACAUUUCACAUGUCCUAGAUAUGACUUUAAAUCCUUUUUUGGAACUAAGUAAAAUAUAUAAAUACUAAAAAUAUAAAUACCUGAGGUAUAAGCACCUUAAUACUUGUGGUAAUUAUUAAAUAAAAAGUCCAUCUGCAGUUACAAGGCCGAGAGACCUUUAAAAGCUUUUUGAAAAUCUUACAACCUUCCAUUUAAGAAUAAUGGGUGGUAGUGAAGAGAUCAGAAAGCCAAAUUAUUUAACAGUAGAGGAUUAUAGCAAAAUGAGUCGAAAAAUUAAGACUUGGCCAGAUGCUUGCCCCAAUCCUUUUUGUAUGAGUAGAUAGAUACGUAGCACUAUUACACCUGAGAAUUUAAGGAAAGCAAAUUUGCCCUCUUUAAUUUUGGAAGCUUUCUUUCCAAAUCAACACUAUUCCAAAUCAGUAUCUUGUAGUGGUUAAGAAGGUGGGCUCUGAAGCCAGGACACCUGGUUUCAAAUCCCAGUCCACCAUUAGGGCUGUGUGAACUUUGGGCAACUUAUUUGUUUUCUUCACUUGAAAAAUGGUGUCGGAGUUCCCGUUGUGGCGCAUAAGUUUUAAACAGCACAAAUCGUGUAAAAACCAACACACAACUACACCCUUUUGCUCUUAUGGCUUCACACUUAUCAAAGAAAAGCUCCUAGACAUUACCAAAAUAGGAAAAAUUCUUUAAAGUGCCAGACCUGUCACAAAUUUAAUGUAGAUCAAAUGUAGCAGCUUAUCACAAUCUCGUCUUAAAAUAAUGAAAACAUAUACGGCGUGAAAACAAUAGAUACACUUUGCAGUCCCAUUAGCCGGAAUCAGUCCCACAUGGGAAGGAGUAGGAGUGAAGAAAAGCGUGACAACUGCUUUAGUCCCACUGGAUCCUUCGCUCUUCUUCCGGAAGAAUGCUCCAGUUUGGGGAGGCCACAUCCCGGGCCAGCCAGUUGAAAUCGUCAACGUCGUUCCAGUUAUUUUUGCUCCUAUCUAAACCAGAGCCCUCAAAGUCCUUGUCGAUCCCCGGGUAGCUCCAGGUGUAGGGGGCGAACUGGAUCCCCGUGCAGUCCUCCACGAUGGCCCUGCUGGUCACCAGCAGGAAGACGCGGGUGUCUUUUGUGGUGUGUACGCGGAGCUGCUGGCAGGCCACAGCCAGCACGCAGUCACUGCAGUCCUCCAGGAACACAGAGGUGGACACGGGACCGCAGAGCAGCGUGCAGCCUCGGGCCUUGGUUAGCCGCAGAGUAUUGGGAUUGCCAUACAAUUUGAUCGUGCAAUUACUCAGUUGGGUCAAAAGGACGUCGCGCUGGUGCAGCUCGUCGGCUCUCUUCUCCAAGACUUCGGACUGCAGGUUGGAGAAGCCGCAGACCCAGCUGGAGUCGAAGCCUCCCUCCUCCUUCAAGGGCGGAGAGGAGGCCAGGAUGCCGUCAGCAGCCGGGGCGCCGGGAGCCGAGUCUACUUUGGUGGCUGAAGCGACAUCCUUCCUGCGAGUCUUGAAAGCGAAACGCUUCUUAGGCUGCAGCUCCUGACGCCGCUUGGCCAGGGCCGCCUGCAGCCGCGCCAGCACCUCUUGUCCCUGCCGCAGAUCGUAGGCGGCCAGGAACAAAACCGAAUCGUUGAUAAGUUUCUGCAGCCCCUGUAGCCGAGCGGCCGCCUCCUCCAGCUUCUCGACGGACUCCCCGCCUUCCAGAAGCUCUUCCACGGCCGAUCGCUCCCGAGCGAAGGCGGCGGCGAAAAAGUCGCUCUUUUCCUCCUCCACCUCCUCGUUCUGCCGCUUUUGCUUCCGCCUUUCCACCUCCAGUUGCCGCUCUUGUUCUCGCCUCUGAAGCCGCUCGGGCACCAAGCUCCGGUCCCACUGGGACCCCAAGUCCCCGUUCCGCACAGCAGCAGCAGCCGCAGAGAAACUACUAUCCUCCAUCUUGAC
This 4050-nucleotide long non-coding RNA is filed under the name Sus scrofa (pig). RNAcentral describes it as "lncRNA (ENSSSCG00050004324.1)". The record is from RNAcentral. Lineage: Eukaryota; Metazoa; Chordata; Mammalia; Artiodactyla; Suidae.